This 144-nucleotide small nuclear RNA is filed under the name Meriones unguiculatus (Mongolian gerbil). Its description in RNAcentral is "U1 spliceosomal RNA (ENSMUGG00000005365.1)". It matches the Rfam family "U1 spliceosomal RNA". From Rfam's summary of the family: U1 is a small nuclear RNA (snRNA) component of the spliceosome (involved in pre-mRNA splicing). Its 5' end forms complementary base pairs with the 5' splice junction, thus defining the 5' donor site of an intron. Lineage: Eukaryota; Metazoa; Chordata; Mammalia; Rodentia; Muridae. The record is from RNAcentral.
UAAGGAGCCUUGCAGCUCCUUGAAGGCAGGGAGAUUAGUAGAAGCUUUCACCCCGAAUGUGCUGACCCCUGCAGUUUCCCCAAGUGUGGGAAACUUGACUGCAUAAUUUGUGGUAGUGGGGGACUGUGUUCAUGCUUUCACCUG